UAUGUGAAUACAUAGCAUAUCAGAAGGCACACCCGGAGAACUGAAACAUCUUAGUACCCGGAGGAAGAGAAAGAAAAUUCGAUUCCCUUAGUAGCGGCGAGCGAAACGGGAAGAGCCCAAACCAACAAGCUUGCUUGUUGGGGUUGUAGGACACUCUAUACGGAGUUACAAAGGACGACAUUAGACGAAUCAUCUGGAAAGAUGAAUCAAAGAAGGUAAUAAUCCUGUAGUCGAAAAUGUUGUCUCUCUUGAGUGGAUCCUGAGUACGACGGAGCACGUGAAAUUCCGUCGGAAUCUGGGAGGACCAUCUCCUAAGGCUAAAUACUCUCUAGUGACCGAUAGUGAACCAGUACCGUGAGGGAAAGGUGAAAAGCACCCCGGAAGGGGAGUGAAAUAGAACCUGAAACCGUGUGCUUACAAGUAGUCAGAGCCCGUUAAUGGGUGAUGGCGUGCCUUUUGUAGAAUGAACCGGCGAGUUACGAUUUGAUGCAAGGUUAAGCAGUAAAUGUGGAGCCGUAGCGAAAGCGAGUCUGAAUAGGGCGUUUAGUAUUUGGUCGUAGACCCGAAACCAGGUGAUCUACCCUUGGUCAGGUUGAAGUUCAGGUAACACUGAAUGGAGGACCGAACCGACUUACGUUGAAAAGUGAGCGGAUGAACUGAGGGUAGCGGAGAAAUUCCAAUCGAACCUGGAGAUAGCUGGUUCUCUCCGAAAUAGCUUUAGGGCUAGCCUCAAGUGAUGAUUAUUGGAGGUAGAGCACUGUUUGGACGAGGGGCCCCUCUCGGGUUACCGAAUUCAGACAAACUCCGAAUGCCAAUUAAUUUAACUUGGGAGUCAGAACAUGGGUGAUAAGGUCCGUGUUCGAAAGGGAAACAGCCCAGACCACCAGCUAAGGUCCCAAAAUAUAUGUUAAGUGGAAAAGGAUGUGGCGUUGCCCAGACAACUAGGAUGUUGGCUUAGAAGCAGCCAUCAUUUAAAGAGUGCGUAAUAGCUCACUAGUCGAGUGACACUGCGCCGAAAAUGUACCGGGGCUAAACAUAUUACCGAAGCUGUGGAUUGUCCUUUGGACAAUGGUAGGAGAGCGUUCUAAGGGCGUUGAAGCAUGAUCGUAAGGACAUGUGGAGCGCUUAGAAGUGAGAAUGCCGGUGUGAGUAGCGAAAGACGGGUGAGAAUCCCGUCCACCGAUUGACUAAGGUUUCCAGAGGAAGGCUCGUCCGCUCUGGGUUAGUCGGGUCCUAAGCUGAGGCCGACAGGCGUAGGCGAUGGAUAACAGGUUGAUAUUCCUGUACCACCUAUAAUCGUUUUAAUCGAUGGGGGGACGCAGUAGGAUAGGCGAAGCGUGCGAUUGGAUUGCACGUCUAAGCAGUAAGGCUGAGUAUUAGGCAAAUCCGGUACUCGUUAAGGCUGA
This 1406-nucleotide ribosomal RNA is filed under the name Staphylococcus aureus. RNAcentral describes it as "partial 23S ribosomal RNA". It matches the Rfam family "Bacterial large subunit ribosomal RNA", at positions 155 to 1559 of the family's 2925-position model. The record is from RNAcentral. Lineage: Bacteria; Bacillati; Bacillota; Bacilli; Caryophanales; Staphylococcaceae.